CACCUCUCAGGGUCGUGCCUGGAGAGUUUGCAGUACUCUACCAGUGUCGACUAUGGGAGGGAGAGUCAGGCAGAGGCCUAUCCAUACCUCUCCUAGCUUGGGCAGAGGCUAGCCAGUGGAAGGCAAUCUGCUACAAGU
Ornithorhynchus anatinus (platypus) is the source of this 138-nucleotide small nucleolar RNA. NCBI's taxonomy places the organism in Eukaryota, Metazoa, Chordata, Mammalia, Monotremata, Ornithorhynchidae. The record is from RefSeq and is a predicted model, not a curated record.